Molecule: ribosomal RNA, 1017 nt
Filed under: uncultured bacterium
Lineage: Bacteria
Description: bacterial SSU rRNA
Rfam family: Bacterial small subunit ribosomal RNA
Source: RNAcentral
UGAGGAAUAUUGGUCAAUGGACGAGAGUCUGAACCAGCCAAGUAGCGUGAAGGAUGACUGCCCUAUGGGUUGUAAACUUCUUUUAUACGGGAAUAAAGUGAGGCACGUGUGCCUUUUUGUAUGUACCGUAUGAAUAAGGAUCGGCUAACUCCGUGCCAGCAGCCGCGGUAAUACGGAGGAUCCGAGCGUUAUCCGGAUUUAUUGGGUUUAAAGGGAGCGUAGGCGGACGCUUAAGUCAGUUGUGAAAGUUUGCGGCUCAACCGUAAAAUUGCAGUUGAUACUGGGUGUCUUGAGUACAGUAGAGGCAGGCGGAAUUCGUGGUGUAGCGGUGAAAUGCUUAGAUAUCACGAAGAACUCCGAUUGCGAAGGCAGCUUGCUGGACUGUAACUGACGCUGAUGCUCGAAAGUGUGGGUAUCAAACAGGAUUAGAUACCCUGGUAGUCCACACAGUAAACGAUGAAUACUCGCUGUUUGCGAUAUACAGUAAGCGGCCAAGCGAAAGCGUUAAGUAUUCCACCUGGGGAGUACGCCGGCAACGGUGAAACUCAAAGGAAUUGACGGGGGCCCGCCCAAGCGGAGGAACAUGUGGUUUAAUUCGAUGAUACGCGAGGAACCUUACCCGGGCUUGAAUUGCAACUGAAUGAUGUGGAGACAUGUCAGCCGCAAGGCAGUUGUGAAGGUGCUGCAUGGUUGUCGUCAGCUCGUGCCGUGAGGUGUCGGCUUAAGUGCCAUAACGAGCGCAACCCUUAUCGAUAGUUACCAUCAGGUUAUGCUGGGGACUCUGUCGAGACUGCCGUCGUAAGAUGUGAGGAAGGUGGGGAUGACGUCAAAUCAGCACGGCCCUUACGUCCGGGGCUACACACGUGUUACAAUGGGGGGUACAGAAGGCAGCUACACGGCGACGUGAUGCUAAUCCCUAAAGCCUCUCUCAGUUCGGAUUGGAGUCUGCAACCCGACUCCAUGAAGCUGGAUUCGCUAGUAAUCGCGCAUCAGCCACGGCGCGGUGAAUACGUUCCC